This is a non-coding RNA of Phalacrocorax carbo (great cormorant), 195 nucleotides long. The record is from RefSeq and is a predicted model, not a curated record. NCBI's taxonomy places the organism in Eukaryota, Metazoa, Chordata, Aves, Suliformes, Phalacrocoracidae.
GUUUCUCCGCAGACCUCGGGAAAGCGGCAGCGGCUGCCCUGAUCGUCGGAGCCGUCCUGUCUGCCACUGAGCAGCACCCUGACCUCUCAGCCUCGGUCCUGCAAGGUUUCCAGUGCAUCCCAGCCAGCGACCUGCCCGCUGCUGACAUCCUCGCGUUUGCCCAGGGACUGCAAAACGGAACAGUGGAGCUGAGCA